UACGUAGGGGGCAAGCGUUAUCCGGAUUUACUGGGUGUAAAGGGAGCUUAGGUGGUUCGGUAAGUCAGAUGUGAAAGCCCGGGGCUCAACCCCGGGACUGCAUUUGAAACUAUCGAACUAGAGUGCAGGAGAGGUAAGUGGAAUUCCUAGUGUAGCGGUGAAAUGCGUAGAUAUUAGGAGGAACACCAGUGGCGAAGGCGGCUUACGGGACUGUAAUUGACAAUGAGGCUCGAAAGCGUGGGGAGCAAACAGG
This 253-nucleotide ribosomal RNA is filed under the name uncultured bacterium. RNAcentral describes it as "partial 16S ribosomal RNA". It matches the Rfam family "Bacterial small subunit ribosomal RNA", at positions 524 to 776 of the family's 1533-position model. The record is from RNAcentral.